Molecule: transfer RNA, 75 nt
Filed under: bacterium
Lineage: Bacteria
Description: tRNA-Asn
Rfam family: tRNA
About the family: Transfer RNA (tRNA) molecules are approximately 80 nucleotides in length. Their secondary structure includes four short double-helical elements and three loops (D, anti-codon, and T loops).
Source: RNAcentral
UCCGGCGUAGCUCAAUGGUAGAGCAAGCGACUGUUAAUCGCUUGGUUGUAGGUUCGAGUCCUACCGCCGGAGCCA